CCUGGGAGGUGUGAUAUCGUGGUUCCUGGGAGGUGUGAUCCUGUGCUCCAUGGGGGGUCUGAUCCCGUGCUUCCUGGG
Molecule: microRNA precursor, 78 nt
Filed under: Pan troglodytes (chimpanzee)
Lineage: Eukaryota; Metazoa; Chordata; Mammalia; Primates; Hominidae
Description: miRNA
Rfam family: mir-3689 microRNA precursor family
Source: RNAcentral